AUUGAACGCUGGCGGCAUGCUUUACACAUGCAAGUCGAACGGUAACAGGCCGCAAGGUGCUGACGAGUGGCGAACGGGUGAGUAAUUCAUCGGAACGUGCCCAGUCGUGGGGGAUAACUACUCGACAGAGUAGCUAAUACCGCAUACGAUCUAUGGAUGAAAGCGGGGGACCGUAAGGCCUCGCGCGAUUGGAGCGGCCGAUGUCAGAUUCGGUAGUUGGUGGGGUAAAGGCUCACCAAGCCAACGAUCUGUAGCUGGUCUGAGAGUACGACCAGCCACACUGGGACUGAGACACGGACCAGACUCCUACGGGAGGCAGCAGUGGGGAAUUUUGGACAAUGGGCGCAAGCCUGAUCCAGCAAUGCCGCGUGCAGGAAGAAGGCCUUCGGGUUGUAAACUGCUUUUGUACGGAACGAAACGGCUCUGGUUAAUACCCGGGGCUAAUGACGGUACCGUAAGAAUAAGCACCGGCUAACUACGUG
Molecule: ribosomal RNA, 482 nt
Filed under: uncultured bacterium
Lineage: Bacteria
Description: partial 16S ribosomal RNA
Rfam family: Bacterial small subunit ribosomal RNA
Source: RNAcentral